GAACUUUCUCUGUGCUACUUUCUUUUCCUCAGGAAUGGAAGACGAGUUAGGAACACAAAGCAAUCUGAGAGUAAAAGAGGAAGAGACCUCCAAGAGGAAGGAACCGGGCUUUAUACCUAAUCUCAAAAAACAUGUCUGAACUGCUGAUCCCAAGGCAUGCUGUGAUUGUAUGAGCUGGUUUAAUUGGAUAUGCGGAUCCGAGUUCACUCCUUGCAUGCACACAGCUAUUUGGAAAGGGAGCUUGUUAAUGAAAGUAGAAGAAAAACUUGAAGGAAAAAGCACGUUUGGCAUUUAACUAGCAAAAGAUUUGCUUUCUUCAUUAAAGUCAUUAUAACUGAG
Molecule: long non-coding RNA, 339 nt
Organism: Onychostruthus taczanowskii (white-rumped snowfinch)
Lineage: Eukaryota; Metazoa; Chordata; Aves; Passeriformes; Passeridae
Exons: 3
Source: RefSeq, a predicted model, not a curated record